RNAcentral lists this ribosomal RNA (506 nucleotides) under uncultured bacterium. RNAcentral's name for it is "bacterial SSU rRNA". It matches the Rfam family "Bacterial small subunit ribosomal RNA", at positions 32 to 513 of the family's 1533-position model. The record is from RNAcentral.
AAUCAACGCUGGCGGCGUGCCUAACACAUGCAAGUCGAACGAGAAGGUGACUUCGGUCACUGGAUAGUGGCGUCCGGGUGAGUAACACGUAGGUAAUCUACCUUCGGGUGGGGAAUAACGUCUCGAAAGAGACGCUAAUACCGCAUAAUGCAGCGGCACCUAAUGGUGAUUAGUUGUUAAAGCGGGGGAGUCUUCGGACCUCGCGCCUGAAGAGGAGCCUGCGGCAGAUUAGCUAGUUGGUGAGGUAAUGGCUCACCAAGGCUUCGAUCUGUAGCUGGUCUGAGAGGACGGCCAGCCACACUGGCACUGACACACGGGCCAGACUCCUACGGGAGGCAGCAGUGGGGAAUUUUGGGCAAUGGGCGAAAGCCUGACCCAGCAACGCCGCGUGAAGGAGGAAAUCCUUCGGGAUGUAAACUUCAUAAGUAAGGGAAGAAAGCUGCGGAUCGAAUAAGUCCGCAGUCCGACGGUACCUUACGUAAGCCACGGCUAACUACGUGCCAGCC